UACGGAGGGUGCGAGCGUUGUCCGGAAUCAUUGGGCGUAAAGGGCGCGUAGGUGGCCCGGUCAGCGUGCGGUGAAAGCUCGGGGCUCAACCCCGAGUCGGCCGUGCGAACUGCUGGGCUUGAGCACUGUAGAGGCAGGCGGAAUUCCGGGUGUAGCGGUGGAAUGCGUAGAGAUCCGGAAGAACACCGGUGGCGAAGGCGGCCUGCUGGGCAGUGGCUGACGCUGAGGCGCGAAAGCGUGGGGAGCAAACAGG
This 253-nucleotide ribosomal RNA is filed under the name uncultured bacterium. Its description in RNAcentral is "partial 16S ribosomal RNA". It matches the Rfam family "Bacterial small subunit ribosomal RNA", at positions 524 to 776 of the family's 1533-position model. The record is from RNAcentral.